ACAUUUACCUUUACUCUGUGCACCCACUGCUCUUUGCACCUCCCUUUAGCUCUAUUCCCGGAAGAAUGUAAUACAAGUGUGAAAGAGCAACAUAACAAAACAAAACUUUCGGCAACGGAUCUCUUGGCUCUCGCAUCGAUGAAGAACGCAGCGAAAUGCGAUACGUAAUGUGAAUUGCAGAAUUCAGUGAAUCAUCGAAUCUAAGAACGCACCUUGCCUCUUUGGUAUUCCGAAGAGUAUGUCUGUUGAGUGUCAUGAAACUCUCAACCCCCUCAUUUUGUAAUGAAGUGAGUCGUGGGCUUGGAUUAUGGCUGGCUGUCGGCUUAAGUGCCGGCUCAGCUGAAAUACACGAGUAACCCAGUUUGAAAAACUGACGGCUUGACUCGGCGUAAUAAUUAUUAUCGCUGAGGACGUCUAACCUUCAAAUCGUUAGGGUGCUUCUAAUGCAAAUCAUUUUAAGAUUUAGACCUCAAAUCAGUCAGGAUUACCCGCGAACUUAAGCAUAUCAAUAAGCGGAGGAA
Molecule: ribosomal RNA, 521 nt
Filed under: Symmetrospora oryzicola
Lineage: Eukaryota; Fungi; Basidiomycota; Cystobasidiomycetes; Symmetrosporaceae
Description: eukaryotic LSU rRNA
Rfam family: 5.8S ribosomal RNA (bases 104-255)
Source: RNAcentral